Non-coding RNA from Potamilus streckersoni, 73 nucleotides. Lineage: Eukaryota; Metazoa; Mollusca; Bivalvia; Unionida; Unionidae. The record is from the annotation of a GenBank genome assembly.
GCUGAUGUAGCUCAGUUGGUAGAGCACUUCCUUGGUAAGGAAGAGGUCACCAGUUCAAUCCUGGUCAUCAGCU